CUCUCGACUGCCCCUCAAAUGAGGGAUGUAAACCCGAACCGAUGAGGGGAACCCUCGACCCUUCCAGGGUGGGGAGCUUCCG
This 82-nucleotide non-coding RNA is filed under the name Saccharolobus solfataricus. Lineage: Archaea; Thermoproteati; Thermoproteota; Thermoprotei; Sulfolobales; Sulfolobaceae. The record is from RNAcentral.